This 72-nucleotide transfer RNA is filed under the name Candidatus Portnoyibacteriota bacterium. Its description in RNAcentral is "Candidatus Portnoybacteria bacterium tRNA-OTHER". It matches the Rfam family "tRNA". Rfam says of the family: Transfer RNA (tRNA) molecules are approximately 80 nucleotides in length. The record is from RNAcentral. Lineage: Bacteria; Candidatus Portnoyibacteriota.
GGCGGGAAGUAGACUGGCGUCUAAGGUCGUCUCAUAAGCGAUCUAUGGUGGGUUCGAUCCCCACUCCCGCUA